AAGAGGACGAAGAAGUGAGAUGGUGUCAUCCCACCAAACAAGUGAGAGUGUGUCAAUAUAGGUCUAUACUUUCAAUUGUUUGAUGAGGUGAAAUCAUUCUAAUAAUUGACGUUUUCUG
This is a non-coding RNA of Apis mellifera (honey bee), 118 nucleotides long. NCBI's taxonomy places the organism in Eukaryota, Metazoa, Arthropoda, Insecta, Hymenoptera, Apidae. The record is from RefSeq and is marked provisional.